Long non-coding RNA from Pan troglodytes (chimpanzee), 1635 nucleotides. RefSeq lists it as uncharacterized. Lineage: Eukaryota; Metazoa; Chordata; Mammalia; Primates; Hominidae. The transcript is spliced from 3 exons. The record is from RefSeq and is a predicted model, not a curated record.
UCUGCUCUCCACCUGACAUACAUCUCUCCGGGGCAGCAAGGGAGUGCAGGCUACCUGCUUGAAUUGGAGGAAUGAAAAGGGAAGAUACAAAAAGAAACAAAUCAAUAUCUGAAAAUAUGCAGCCAUAAAGUUAGGGCUCUUCUCUACUAUGAUCCUCCCUGGGUCUUUCUUCAAGACUCUAAGAAGAGACUAGGAAACAGACCUCUUGUUAAGAAAAGAAUAAAAUGUCUAGACCCUAUUUCUGUAAGUGGCUUAACCACAGUUCCCUCUCCUCUUCAACACAAGAGGGUUCUUCUAAAACAGCUUUCACUGAACAGUGAACACUGUUGCUGUGUUGCAAAGAUGAAAGCAAAAUUCCAUGUGUGAAGCCCAAAUUGAAAUCACAGAAGGCAGGAUUCACACUGCUAAUUGUUGCUUAGCAAUAAAAUGUGCAAAACCUGCUAAUGGAACAGUGACACCAGGCACCAGAGGCAUCUGUAUCCACACUGGCAGUAAAUUAGGGAAUUAGAAACUCUACAGUAACAGCAAGAAAAGGAAUUCCAUCUCUUAGGAACCCAGGGAGGGUUUCUGCACUCAUUCCUGCUUACUGCUCAGUUGAAAAGAAAGUCUCUUCAUCCACUAGAUACUGCUAUUGUGACAGUUGAAGACUGCAAGGAAAUAGAAGCUCGGAGGUUCAGAUUAUUCUAAAAGUGUCCCUGAUGGAUUUGCACGUGCCUACAAAAAAUAGUAUUUUUUUCCCCUGUUGAAAAGAUUUGCAGUAAAGAUAGACCUUCAAAUGCCAGCUUGUACGUUUGCUAAGGCAGCAGAGUGGGACAAAAAGCUCUGUCACUGCCACCUCAUCACAGGUGUUCUGUGGGUAGUAGUCAGCCUCCAGCAUAGGGACCGUGUGUCAGGAACCAAAACAAAAUAGCCAGGUAUAGUGGCACAUGCCUGUAGUCCAAACUACUCAGGAGGGUAAGGAGGGAGGAUCACUUGAGCCCAGAACUUCGAGGCUGCAGUAAGCCAUGAUCGCAUCGCACCACUGCACUCCUGCCUGGGGGACAAAGCAAGACCCUGUCUCAAAAAAACGCUAUCAAGAGCUGCAUACUGAAACAAAUUCAUUUAUUUCGCAGUUAUCUAGCCUGCCUUUAAUGACAACCUGUUAUUCCCUAAAUUGGUGAAUGAAAAAAAUCCAGAUGCUUAGCAACCCAAUGGACACUUUGUAAAUGCUUUUUAUUGAAGUAUACCUAACACACUGUAAAGUCCAGACAUUUUAUCAGUAUUUCUCAAUACAUUUUUUCACUUACAUAGUGUAUACCCAUGUAACCGACCACAUCGAUCAAGACUUAGAAAUUCCCAGCACUCUUGAAUGUUCUUGCAAGCAAUAUUGCCCCCCAAAUAGCCAUCAUUUUAACAUCUACCACAGCAGAUUAGUUGUGCCUAUUGUUGAACUUCAUAUACAUAAGGUCACUGAGUAUUUUACUGUUUAAUGUCUAGCUUCUUUCACUCAACAUUAUGUCUGAGAGAUUCAUCCAUGUUGCAAUUAGUAUUUUUUAUUGCAGUGUAGUAUUCCAUUGUGCAAAUAUCCACAAUGGUUUAUUUACCCAUUCUCCUUUGAUGGACAUUUGGGGUUAUUUUCGCAUUUGAACUACUAUG